GGCACCAUAGUUGAUUAACAACAUUAAAUUGCAGAUUUAGAAGAGUACCAUGAUACUGAUGCCU
Molecule: transfer RNA, 64 nt
Filed under: Amynthas corticis
Lineage: Eukaryota; Metazoa; Annelida; Clitellata; Crassiclitellata; Megascolecidae
Also listed under: 1 other name
Description: tRNA-Cys
Source: RNAcentral